UACGAAGGGGGCUAGCGUUGUUCGGAAUUACUGGGCGUAAAGGGCGCGUAGGCGGUACUUCAAGUCAGGCGUGAAAGCCCCGGGCUCAACCUGGGAACCGCGCUUGAGACUGGAGAACUAGAGUUCGGGAGAGGAUGGUGGAAUUCCCAGUGUAGAGGUGAAAUUCGUAGAUAUUGGGAAGAACACCGAUGGCGAAGGCAGCCAUCUGGACCGACACUGACGCUGAGGCGCGAAAGCGUGGGGAGCAAACAGGAUUAGAUACCCGGUAGUCC
Molecule: ribosomal RNA, 272 nt
Filed under: uncultured prokaryote
Description: partial 16S ribosomal RNA
Rfam family: Bacterial small subunit ribosomal RNA
Source: RNAcentral